RNAcentral lists this transfer RNA (72 nucleotides) under Pangasianodon hypophthalmus (striped catfish). It matches the Rfam family "tRNA". From Rfam's summary of the family: Transfer RNA (tRNA) molecules are approximately 80 nucleotides in length. Their secondary structure includes four short double-helical elements and three loops (D, anti-codon, and T loops). The record is from Rfam by way of RNAcentral. Lineage: Eukaryota; Metazoa; Chordata; Actinopteri; Siluriformes; Pangasiidae.
UCCCUGGAGGACUAGUGGUUAGGCCAUGGUGCUCUCAUUGCUGCGGCCCAGGCUCGAUUCCCGGCCAGGGAA